GGGGUGUGGUGCGUUGAUGUGUGGUGGGGGUGGUGAACGUCAUACCUGCACUGCACCAAACAUGCUUAUUUUAACUACUAGAAAUUCAAACCUUAAAAUGGACAAUGCAAGUCAAGCCCCCAACAAUAUCAUUCUGCAUUACUGUUAUUGGUAUCUAUUGCAGUACUAUGUUUUAUAUGAAGUGCUACUAUAUUGUGUAUGUGCUAGACUGCUGCUUUUGUCUAGGUUAUUUUUAUUGUGUUUAAUGGGGCAGUAUUUUGUUGCAG
RNAcentral lists this unclassified non-coding RNA (266 nucleotides) under Hevea brasiliensis (rubber tree). Lineage: Eukaryota; Viridiplantae; Streptophyta; Magnoliopsida; Malpighiales; Euphorbiaceae. The record is from RNAcentral.